AUACGGAGGGUCCAAGCGUUAUCCGGUAUCAUUGGGUUUAAAGGGUCCGCAGGCGGUCAAUUAAGUCAGAGGUGAAAGCCCAUCGCUCAACGAUGGAACUGCCUUUGAUACUGGUUGACUUGAGUUAUACGGAAGUAGAUAGAAUAAGUAGUGUAGCGGUGAAAUGCAUAGAUAUUACUUAGAAUACCGAUUGCGAAGGCAGUCUACUACGUAUAUACUGACGCUGAGGGACGAAAGCGUGGGGAGCGAACAGGAUUAGAAACCCUAGUAGUCC
RNAcentral lists this ribosomal RNA (274 nucleotides) under uncultured bacterium. RNAcentral's name for it is "partial 16S ribosomal RNA". It matches the Rfam family "Bacterial small subunit ribosomal RNA", at positions 523 to 796 of the family's 1533-position model. The record is from RNAcentral.